This is an RNA transcript of Solanum tuberosum (potato), 1549 nucleotides long. RefSeq lists it as uncharacterized. Lineage: Eukaryota; Viridiplantae; Streptophyta; Magnoliopsida; Solanales; Solanaceae. The transcript has 7 exons. The record is from RefSeq and is a predicted model, not a curated record.
UCUGAUAGAUGUAUGGAAGCUUCUUUGAGUCUCUCAUCUUCUCCUCCUUGAAGCUCCCAGCUAAUCUACUGAUGAUGAUCCCUGAGCACUCUCCGAUGAUCCACUGUCUCUACUUCCUCCGAUGAGCCACUGUCUCUACUUCCUCCGAUGAGCUUCCAAUUUCUUCAUGCAGCUAAGUUUCUUGCUUUACGGAUGUGCUCAAUGUUACAGGUUGGUCGAGCACUUCUCCACUUCCUAAGUUUCAGGGUUAAUGGGUUAAUUGGAGGAACAGCUUCCUUCACUUCUUUAAAUUUUCCUACCAAAGAACGUACAGAAAGCCAAAAACUGGAGAAAGAAACUGUCUUUUGGCGCUAAAUUUUUUUAGGUUUUUGGCUCCAAAAGAAUUUCAGAAUAACCACUAUAUAUUUGAGAAGUUUCAUUGCAAAAUGAAAGAAUAUCUGAACCUGGACAAGAAGACCAGAGUUCUGUAAAUCAAUGGCACCGGGUGGACGUGUCUUUAGACAAACUACACUUACAGGGGAAACUACUCAAGAUACUCAAUUAGUGGAUGACUCAAAUAACCUUACUCAUGUUAAUACAGAUGAUUUCACUAGACUUAAGAAAGGUUGUGGCAAAACUAGAGGGAAAGGUCUUGAAAAAAUGAAAAAGACUUUGGGAAACAAGAUGAAAAUAGAAAUUCCACUGGGCAAAGGAAGGCUGACUAAACCAGAUCAAUCAUCAAAACUAUCCAAUGAGUUAGGGAUAAUUGCCCAAACUUUCUAUUGCUUCCAAACAAGUGGAAGGAACUCACAAGAGAGGACAAAGAUGCAGCACUAAUUAGAUGUCACGAGAGGUUUGAGAUUAAUUUGGAUGAGCAUUACGUGAAAGAUAGUUGCGAGGAUAUCCUGAAAAAUAGAAGCAGACAGUGGCGUUACAAGUUAAAACAACUAUUUGAAAGUGCACACUCCGAGGAAGAAGCUCGUAAAAUUGAAGUGCCAGAGUUGACCCCCGAAAAUUGGAAUAGGCUUUGUGACAUGUGGAUCAAUCCACAUCAUAAGGGUGGGACUAGACCUGAAGGACUAGAGCCUGAUAGAAUCGAGUUUUACAAGCAUACUCAUUACACGAGUGAAAAAGGAUGGUUUUCUCUAGAGGGUGAGACUCAUUAUAACAACAUGAUUGAUUUGAAAGAUAUAUAUACUUCGGGAGAGUCUUCCAUGACUAUUGAUGAAAAUGUGGAUAUUGUUCUUGGUACAAAGUCGGGAUAUAUAAAAGGCCUUGGUUAUCAUCCAAAACCUAAUACUACAAGAGCUACACAAAGGAGAACGGCUGAGUUAGAAGACUCUCUCAAAAAGGUGUAACAAGAAGUUGCUAGUGCCCAACAUGACUUACUGAAACGAUUAAAUGUAGCUGAAACUAAGGUAGAAAACCAACAGUUUCAGAUACUAGACCAGCAAUCCCAGAUUCAAGACCAACAGUCACAAAUAAAAGCAUUAAAUUCUCAGUUGGACACUGUAGUAGCAAGCCAAGAAGACAUGUUUAGGAAGAUACAACUCUUUGCUCGCUCAUCGCC